RNA transcript from Helianthus annuus (common sunflower), 2962 nucleotides. It is a transcript of the gene named AMP deaminase, with no coding region annotated. The record is from RefSeq and is a predicted model, not a curated record. NCBI's taxonomy places the organism in Eukaryota, Viridiplantae, Streptophyta, Magnoliopsida, Asterales, Asteraceae. The transcript is spliced from 19 exons.
AAGCCGUAGUAUAAAUACACACAACAUAUCAUAUCUAAUCCUACAAGUAGGGUUUUAACUUUAAGUUUUCAUUUCCCCCAAAUCUAUAUCUAUACACGUAUAUACAUACAUACAUACUGACGCUUGUGAGUGAAUAAUGGACGCGUAUGCGUUGCAUCUAGCUAUGGCGGCACUAGUCGGAGCCUCCUUUGUGGCAGUUUCGGCUUACUAUAUGCACCGGAAAACCCUAAAUCAGCUGCUGGAGUUUGCAAAAUCUGUUGAGAGAGACAGAGAAGAUGUAGAGGAUGAGCAUUACAAGAAGCAGGAGAAGCCGUCGCAGCGGCGGAUCCACGGUGGCCGGAGAAAUGUUGUUUACCGCCGGGCGUCCGCUUCGUUGCCUGACGUCACCUCCAUCUCUCGUGCUCAUGAUGAUGAUGAUGCUAUUAUUCCUGCUGGGUUGCAUAGACUCCAUACGCUUCCUGAAGGGAAAUCUACUAGCCAUACUGGUUUGGCAAAAAGAGCUUCACUCAUACUAAGACCAACUUCUCCAAAAUCUCCGGUUGCAAGUGCAAGUGCUUUCGAAAGUGUUGAAGGAUCAGAUGAAGACGUUGAUGUUGAUGUCAAUGACAAUGACAAUGUUAAUUUAGAUGCCACAUAUCUUAACACAAACGGGAAUGCGGGCCCAGAGGGCGCAAGUGUUAAUGCAAAUGGCGAACAAUUGCCCAUAGCUGCAGCCGCUUUGAUCCGGUCACAUAGCGUAUCUGGUGAUCUACAUGGUGUACAACCGUAUCCUGUCGCUGCUGAUAUUCUUCGAAAGGAGCCAGAGCAGGAAACGUUUGUACGGCUUAGAAUCUCUCCAUAUGACACACCGUCACCUGAUGAAGCAGAGGUUUACAGGACUAUACAAGAUUGCCUUGAAAUGAGGAACAGUUAUGUGUUUAGAGAAAGCAUUGCACCAUGGGAAAAAGAAAUCAUAUCGGACCCUAGUACCCCUAAACGCAAUCCAAAUCCUUUUUCUUAUGUUCCCGAACCAAAAUCUGAUCAUUACUUUGAAAUGGAAGAUGGUGUCGUUCACGUUUACGCAAAUAAAGAUUCAAAAGAGAAGCUUUUUCCCGUUGUGGACGCAACAACCUUUUUUACUGACCUACAUCACCUCCUUAAAGUGAUAGCUGCUGGGAAUACACGAACAGUAUGUCAUCACCGGCUCGGUCUUCUAGAACAGAAAUUCAACCUUCAUUUAAUGCUAAACGCGGAUAAAGAGUUUUUAGCUCAGAAAAGUGCACCACACCGCGACUUCUAUAAUGUUCGGAAAGUCGAUACCCAUGUUCAUCAUUCUGCAUGCAUGAAUCAAAAGCAUUUGUUACGGUUCAUAAAGUCUAAGUUGAGGAAAGAACCUGAUGAGGUUGUAAUAUUUAGGGAUGGGACGUACCUGACUUUAAGAGAAGUUUUUGAGAGCUUGGAUUUAACUAGUUAUGACCUCAAUGUUGAUCUGUUAGAUGUGCAUGCAGACAAGAGCACCUUUCAUCGUUUCGACAAAUUUAAUCUCAAGUAUAAUCCCUGUGGUCAGAGUAGGCUUCGGGAGAUUUUCUUGAAGCAAGAUAAUUUAAUCCAGGGUCGCUUCCUUGCUGAGUUGACCAAACAAGUAUUCACGGAUCUUGACGCAAGUAAAUAUCAAAUGGCUGAAUACAGAAUAUCAAUAUACGGGAGAAAGCAAAGUGAAUGGGACAAUUUGGCAAGUUGGAUUGUGAAUAACGAACUCUACAGUGAUAAUGUUGUCUGGCUGAUUCAGCUGCCUCGACUUUACAAUAUAUACAAGGAAAUGGGUAUUGUGACAUCAUUUCAGACCAUUCUCGACAAUAUAUUCCUUCCUCUUUUCGAGGUUACAGUUGACCCAGGAUCACAUCCGCAGUUGCAUGUUUUCUUGAAACAGGUUGUGGGUUUGGAUUUAGUAGAUGAUGAAAGCAAGCCUGAAAGACGCCCUACAAAGCACAUGCCAACACCUGCACAAUGGACCAAUAUAUUCAACCCUGCGUUUUCAUAUUACGUUUACUAUUGCUACGCUAACCUCUAUACCCUAAACAAGCUUCGUGAAUCAAAAGGCAUGACUACAAUCAGAUUCCGCCCUCAUUGUGGUGAGGCUGGUGACAUCGACCAUCUUGCUGCUGCGUUUCUUACAACGCAUAACAUCGCACACGGGAUUAAUCUGAGAAAGUCUCCUGUACUUCAAUACCUGUACUACCUUGCGCAGAUUGGUCUUGCAAUGUCUCCUUUGAGCAACAACUCGUUAUUUCUAGAUUAUCAUCGGAACCCCUUUCCGAUGUUUUUCCUCAGAGGCCUUAAUGUUUCUUUAUCUACUGAUGACCCGUUACAAAUCCACCUAACAAAGGAACCAUUAGUGGAGGAGUACAGUAUUGCUGCUUCUGUGUGGAAGUUGAGUGCUUGUGAUCUCUGUGAGAUUGCGCGUAACUCAGUUUACCAAUCAGGUUUCUCACAUGUUUUGAAGUCGCAUUGGAUCGGUUCGGAGUACUAUAAGAGAGGACCAGAUGGAAAUGAUAUUCACAGGACAAACGUGCCGCAUAUCCGGCUUGAAUUCCGUGACAUGAUCUGGAGAGAGGAGAUGCAACAGGUUUAUCUAGGGAGAGCCGAAUUGCCUGAAUACAUCGAGACUUAGCUUCUUUCAUGUCAUUCCACCAUUUGUCGGUUUCCGGAGGUAACUAACUUUCGAUUUUAGUUCCGUUGGCCAACUUUUGGUGAAUUCCUGAAGCUCAAGAGCUAAUGUGAGAGUUCAGUGAAAGCUUUAGGUCAAUCCAUCUAAGUGUAUAUAAGAGGACCUGAGAUGUAUUCUAUAUCACAAGAUGAUGAUGAUCUUUUUAAGGCUUUUGGACCUUUGGUGGUGUCUUAAUGAAUAACCAGAACAAUUAUUGUAAGAUAUGUUUAAUAAGCAUUUUUAUCAGUCCAUUUAAACAUGAAGAUGUUGAGAUUC